AGAGUUUGAUCAUGGCUCAGAUUGAACGCUGGCGGCAUGCUUUACACGUGCAAGUCGAAUGGUAACAGGUCUUCGGAUGCUGACGAGUGGCGAACGGGUGAGUAAAACAUCGGAACGUGCCUGGUAGUGGGGGACAACUGCUCGAAAGAGCAGCUAAUACCGCAUGACAUCCAAGGAUAAAAGCAGGGGACCUUCGGGCCUUGUGCUACCAGAGCGGCCGAUGGCAGAUUAGGUAGUUGGUGAGGUAAAGGCUCACCAAGCCUGCGAUCAGUAGCUGGUCUGAGAGGACGACCAGCCACACUGGGACUGAGACACGGCCCAGACUCCUACGGGAGGCAGCAGUGGGGAAUUUUGGACAAUGGGCGCAAGCCUGAUCCAGCAAUGCCGCGUGCAGGACGAAGGCCUUCGGGUUGUAAACUGCUUUUGUACAGAACGAAAAGGACUGGGUUAAUACCCUGGUCAUAUGACGGUACUGAAAGAAUAAGCACCGGCUAACUACGUGCCAGCAGCCGCGGUAAUA
RNAcentral lists this ribosomal RNA (520 nucleotides) under uncultured Lampropedia sp. Its description in RNAcentral is "bacterial SSU rRNA". It matches the Rfam family "Bacterial small subunit ribosomal RNA", at positions 8 to 525 of the family's 1533-position model. The record is from RNAcentral. Lineage: Bacteria; Pseudomonadati; Pseudomonadota; Betaproteobacteria; Burkholderiales; Comamonadaceae.